Molecule: long non-coding RNA, 447 nt
Organism: Fukomys damarensis (Damara mole-rat)
Lineage: Eukaryota; Metazoa; Chordata; Mammalia; Rodentia; Bathyergidae
Exons: 3
Source: RefSeq, a predicted model, not a curated record
GCUAUUGAAGGAGACAGCGACACUAAUCUAUAGGCUGGGCUGCUUUCAUGCACUCUGGCUUCUUCUAAUUCUUAACAUGUCUUUGUUUAAUUCUCAGAUUCCUCCUCCUAUUUUUGCAUGGAUGUGGAGUGUGCUGUGAUCUACAUUAGCCUAAGCAAUGAGGAGCAGAGAGAGAAGCCAGAACUUCUGGGAGGCUUGGUGGAUCAUUGUCCAGUCUCGAUCACAAAGCUCCACUUAAGUGCAAAGCAUACCGGGAAUUGUCAUGCUUAUCUGUGAUUCCAAGAAGGACACCUAGUCUCCAUCCUCCAUCUUGGUGCAGAAACUGAAGAACUACACUUUUGAAUAGGGGCUGGGAUUCCCUCAGAGAAAAAAGGACUUGAAAUAACAACAAGAAAAAGGAGAGCUCAAACCCCUUGCUCCAGAUAUGCAGCACCAAAGAAGUGUUAC